RNAcentral lists this ribosomal RNA (955 nucleotides) under Phymata fortificata. RNAcentral's name for it is "SSU rRNA". It matches the Rfam family "Eukaryotic small subunit ribosomal RNA", at positions 425 to 1293 of the family's 1831-position model. Lineage: Eukaryota; Metazoa; Arthropoda; Insecta; Hemiptera; Phymatidae. The record is from RNAcentral.
GCAGCAGGCACGCAAAUUACCCACUCCCGGCACGGAGAGGUAGUGACAAAAAAUAACGAUACGGGACUCUUUUGAGGCCCCGUAAUCGGAAUGAGUACACUUUAAAUCCUUUAACAAGGAUCGAUUGGAGGGCAAGUCUGGUGCCAGCAGCCGCGGUAAUUCCAGCUCCAAUAGCGUAUAUUAAAGUUGUUGCAGUUAAAAAGCUCGUAGUUGGUUUUGCGUGCCACGCUGUCGGUUCGCCGCCUGACGGUGAAACUGGCAUGUCGUGGUACGUCCUGCCGGUGGUAAAUGGUUGCCUUUGGUGUAAGACAAAAACUUUAUAGUUUUUUGUUGCCGCCUUUGUGUAAUUGUUUACCGAUAUCCUACCCGGUGCUCUUAAACGAGUGUCGAGGUAGGCCGGCAAAUUUACUUUGAACAAAUUAGAGUGCUUCAAGCAGGCUAAAAAUAUUGCCUAAAUAGUGGUGCAUGGAAUAAUGGAAUAGGACCUCGGUUCUAUUUUGUUGGUUUUCAGAACACAAGGUAAUGAUCAAUGUAGACAAGCGGGGGCAUUCGUAUUGCGGCGUUAGAGGUGAAAUUCUUGGAUCGUCGCAAGACGCACAAGAGCGAAAGCAAUUGCCAAGUAUGUCUUAAUUGAUCAAGAACGAAAGUUAGAGGUUCGAAGGCGAUCAGAUACCGCCCUAGUUCUAACCAUAAACGAUGCCAGCCAGCGAUCCGACGUGUUCAUAUUAUGACACGUGCGGGCAGCUUUUUCCCGGGAAACCAAAGCUGUUGGGUUCCGGGGGAAGUAUGGUUGCAAAGCUGAAACUUAAAGGAAUUGACGGAAGGGCACCACCAGGAGUGGAGCCUGCGGCUUAAUUUGACUCAACACGGGAAACCUCACCGGGUCAGGACAUUGUAAGGAUUGACAGAUUGAUAGCUCUUUCUUGAUUCAGUGGGUAGUGGUGCAUGGCCGUUC